UUGCAUUUUAACCUACAAAAUAGAAGUGAUGAAUUCUCCUCGUGAUCAAUCGUGAAUCGCAAUCCUGUUCACUUGCGCUAGCACUUUUUGAUAUAUCUAAAGACUGGUGUGACGAGUUACGUGUUUGCAGUAUGGUAUUGGUACAUUGUGAGCAUCUGAUUAUAUCUGUACUCAAGCUAUUGUGACAGUUAAGAUCGGCAUCGAAGUACAAAGGUAAAAUUUAAUUACAAAACUAAUUUCCAAAAAUUUGAUUUCACCAAAUGGCUGUCGCUUUUUUGUUACAGUUAUUCGACAGGUUGGUAGCAGACCCUUUUACUACUUCCCAUACGAGUGCAGAAGCAACGUUGUAAGUGAUGCUACGCAUCCGGUAACUGAAAUCCUGGCCACACAACAUGGAGAUCUCGUGGUUGCAUCGGGCGGUCACGCUCGACAACAAACAAAUGGAAGCAAAAAGAAACCAGACCCGACCCACACAACCCUCAUCCUCCCGAGUCCGAAGUGCUUCAGGAUUCCCCUCCGCCGCCACCGCUCCGGUAGAGCUCGUCCUCAUCGGUUCCGCAUCUGGGCUGCUCCACUAUUGUCGCGGCUUCAAAAACUGCGACUGGCACACGCUCUCUCCCGGCCACGGACUUUCUCGACCGACCUCCUCCCUCGAAGUCAGUUCCCAUCUCCGCCUUCCCUCUUCAUCUUCCUCCAAUUUUACAUCUUUAUUUGCAUUGCCUCCUUUCUCCGACCGUCGCUCUUGAUUCCUUGAUUUCCUUUAGAUACAUGUGUUGUCUAUCGCUGUUCAUCUCUUUGUUCUUAACUUUUCUUUCAGGGUUCGUUUAUUAUUAUGUUGGAUGAUCAAUCGGGCUAUUCUUUUAUAUGAUGGGAAGAUGAAUAUUCUCUAUUA
Musa acuminata AAA Group (dessert banana) is the source of this 892-nucleotide long non-coding RNA. RefSeq lists it as uncharacterized. The record is from RefSeq and is a predicted model, not a curated record. NCBI's taxonomy places the organism in Eukaryota, Viridiplantae, Streptophyta, Magnoliopsida, Zingiberales, Musaceae. The transcript is spliced from 2 exons.